Ribosomal RNA from Cavia porcellus (domestic guinea pig), 122 nucleotides. The record is from Ensembl. Lineage: Eukaryota; Metazoa; Chordata; Mammalia; Rodentia; Caviidae.
GUCUAUAGGUAUACCACCCUGAAGGCAUCUGAUCUUGUCUGAUCUCAGAAGCUAAGCAGGUUUGGGCCUGGUUAGUACUUGGAAGGGAGACCCCUUCCACUGGUUAAAAAUCACUAUACACC